GCAUUCAGUUGCCAUCGGUGAGGCCGGGCACUCUGGAUGGACUGCCGGCGACAAGCCGGAGGAAGGUGGGGACGGACGUCAAGUCAUCAUGGCCCUUAUGUCCAGGGCGACACACGUGCUACAAUGGCCGGCACAGCGGGAAGGCGAAGGGGCGACGUCUGAGCGGAUCCCUUAAAGCCGGUCCCAGUUCGGAUUGCAGUCUGCAACUCGACUGCAUGAAGUUGGAAUCGCUAGUAAUCGUGGAUCAGCCAAGCCGCGGUGAAUACGUUCCCGGGCCUU
This 279-nucleotide ribosomal RNA is filed under the name uncultured Thermovirga sp. RNAcentral describes it as "partial 16S ribosomal RNA". It matches the Rfam family "Bacterial small subunit ribosomal RNA", at positions 1107 to 1382 of the family's 1533-position model. Lineage: Bacteria; Thermotogati; Synergistota; Synergistia; Synergistales; Thermovirgaceae. The record is from RNAcentral.